GUGCCAGCCGCCGCGGUAAUACGUAGGGACCAAGCGUUGUUCGGAUUUACUGGGCGUAAAGGGCGCGUAGGCGGCUUGUCAAGUCACUUGUGAAAUCUCUGGGCUUAACCCAGAACGGCCAAGUGAAACUGACAUGCUAGAGUGUGGAAGGGGCAAUCGGAAUUCUUGGUGUAGCGGUGAAAUGCGUAGAUAUCAAGAGGAACACCUGAGGUGAAGACGGGUUGCUGGGCCAACACUGACGCUGAGGCGCGAAAGCCAGGGGAGCAAACGGGAUUAGAUACCCGCGUAGUCC
RNAcentral lists this ribosomal RNA (292 nucleotides) under uncultured bacterium. Its description in RNAcentral is "partial 16S ribosomal RNA". It matches the Rfam family "Bacterial small subunit ribosomal RNA", at positions 505 to 796 of the family's 1533-position model. The record is from RNAcentral.